ACUACCUUGACAGAUUAAUGUGUUAAAUUUAGAAUUUAUUUAUGUAAUUUAUAUUACAGGUAGUA
Molecule: transfer RNA, 65 nt
Filed under: Rubellomiris bispinosus
Lineage: Eukaryota; Metazoa; Arthropoda; Insecta; Hemiptera; Miridae
Description: tRNA-Leu
Source: RNAcentral